UUUUUCAGUCAUUCACUCUGGUAAUUCAGCUUCCAUAUCAACAUUAAUGGACUUGCCUUUAAGUUUACCAAAGGGGAGUUAUAAGAUUCACGCAACAUUAACAGACAAGGAUACCGGAGAUAUUUAUUCGAUGCUUGAAUUUAUAUCAUCGAGAUCAACAAUUAAUGGCGAGAUUGU
Long non-coding RNA from Panonychus citri (citrus red mite), 177 nucleotides. RefSeq lists it as uncharacterized. The record is from RefSeq and is a predicted model, not a curated record. NCBI's taxonomy places the organism in Eukaryota, Metazoa, Arthropoda, Arachnida, Trombidiformes, Tetranychidae. The transcript has 3 exons.